RNAcentral lists this unclassified non-coding RNA (378 nucleotides) under plant metagenome. RNAcentral describes it as "partial contains 5.8S ribosomal RNA, internal transcribed spacer 2, and large subunit ribosomal RNA". The stretch from base 1 to 105 matches the Rfam family "5.8S ribosomal RNA", at positions 50 to 154 of the family's 154-position model. The record is from RNAcentral.
GAAAUGCGAUAAGUAAUGUGAAUUGCAGAAUUCAGUGAAUCAUCGAAUCUUUGAACGCACCUUGCGCUCCUUGGUAUUCCUUGGAGCAUGCCUGUUUGAGUAUCAUGAAAUCUUCAAAGUAAAUCUUUUGUUAACUCAAUUGGUUUCUACUUUGGUAUUGGAGGUCUUUGCAGCUUCACACCUGCUCCUCUUUGUUCAUUAGCUGGAUCUCAGUGUGAUGCUUGGUUCCACUCGGCGUGAUAAGUUAUCUAUCGCUGAGGACACUGUAAAAGGUGGCCAAGGUAAAUGCAGAUGAACCGCUUCUAAUAGUCCAUUGACUUGGACAAUACUUUUAUGAUCUGAUCUCAAAUCAGGUAGGACUACCCGCUGAACUUAAGC